Molecule: ribosomal RNA, 440 nt
Filed under: uncultured bacterium
Lineage: Bacteria
Description: partial 16S ribosomal RNA
Rfam family: Bacterial small subunit ribosomal RNA
Source: RNAcentral
CCUACGGGUGGCAGCAGUGGGGAAUAUUGCACAAUGGGGGAAACCCUGAUGCAGCGACGCCGCGUGAGCGAUUAAGUAUUUCGGUAUGUAAAGCCCUAUCAGCAGGGAAGAAAAUGACGGUACCUGACUAAGAAGCCCCGGCUAACUACGUGCCAGCAUCCGCUGUAAUACGUAGGGGGCAAGCGUUAUCCGGAUUUACUGGGUGUAAAGGGAGCGUAGACGGCGGUGCAAGCCAGAUGUGAAAGCUCGGGGCUCAACCCCGGGACUGCAUUUGUAACUGUGCUGCUAGAGUGUCGGAGAGGCAGGCGGAAUUCGUGGUGUAGCGGUGAAAUGCGUAGAUAUUAGGAGGAACACCAGUGGCGAAGGCGGCCUGCUGGACGAUGACUGACGUUGAGGCUCGAAAGCGUGGGGAGCAAACAGGAUUAGAUACCCGGGUAGUC